Molecule: transfer RNA, 67 nt
Filed under: Neoperla ignacsiveci
Lineage: Eukaryota; Metazoa; Arthropoda; Insecta; Plecoptera; Perlidae
Description: tRNA-Leu
Source: RNAcentral
UCUAUUUUGGCAGAUAAGUGCAAUGAAUUUAGACUUCAUGUAUGUGAAUUUAAUUUCACAAAUAGAA